UUUUAAAAUGGGAAAGGACUAAUCUGCCUCGCUGUAUGCUGACAAAAGAUGGAAUUCACUACCUUUUGAACACAUGGCUCUCGCUGGUGGUCCUACUGUGAGAACACUGAGGGCUGGAAUUCCAUGUCCUCUCAAUCUCCACCACAUGUGUGCAGCAGAUAUAAUCACCUCGUGCCUCAUUUAAAAAAAAAAGUUGGCACCAUCCAAAGGAGGAGAACGAUAAGAACCUUCCGGCACAUUGAUUGAUGUUAUCUUCAGAGCACCAAGUCAGCCUUCCCACUCCAAUUACAAAACCCUGCGCUGAUAAAAAUUAAAGUCACCUUCAUGUACAAUUUAGGAACCUCAGACAGGGGCAAAUCAAGUGUGGGGGAGUGAAAAGAGAGAGAUGGCAUUGUGAUUAAAUCGUGGGAUGGAGUGGGUGGGGGGAGGGGGUGCAGCUAAUUAAAGUGGAGCGAGGUUGUGGUGAAUGCCCGUACUACUCCCCAGUGGACGGUCAGCGCAGAGAAAGGGAGCGCGAGCCGACGCGGAUAGACACGGAGCUGGGUAUUCACACAUAAUUGCUCACCCAGGGAGGUGCCACAGAGACCGGUGGCCUGCCGUACACACUCGAGGUGUCAGACUCUGUCAAGAUGAUGAAACUCCACUCAGCCCCCCCCCCCCCCCCCCCCAAGUCCUGCGCUGAGACUGAGCAAGGUGCCGAGAGGGACGUCGAUUUCAGCUUUAUAAAUCUAAACUUGAUGAAAUAUGAGGACACUCUCGGCUGACUCAGGCUUAGUGUGUGGUGUUUACUGGUAUCCCUGGCAGAUCAAUUUAAUUUCAGGAAACAUCAAAUGAGGUGCACGGAUGACUCAGAGACAGGUGAGGGGAGAGGCACAGAUGGAGGGAGAUGUGCAUGGUUCUGACUGCAGGCACAAAUGCCCCCCCACCCCUAUAAUUCAUGCACUGGAGGUUGUCACACGGUUAGUGUGAUUAAUUAAUAUUUGCCACCCAAAGCCUGAUUCAAGCACUGCCUAAGGAGGAAGACAGAGAAUCAAGAGAAUGCUUCUUCAUUUGUGUUGUCAGGGUUACAAAGAGGAAAGGUGGCCUAAAUCAAGCACACAAGGGACAGCAGCUUCAUCAUAAUUAUAAUGAGCCCGCUUGUGUGUGCAUGUGUGUGUGCACGGGAGAGAGUGCAUAUGGCU
This is a long non-coding RNA of Clupea harengus (Atlantic herring), 1181 nucleotides long. NCBI's taxonomy places the organism in Eukaryota, Metazoa, Chordata, Actinopteri, Clupeiformes, Clupeidae. The record is from Ensembl.